CCCCAGUGGCGUCACAACCCCGUGACGUCCCCCGCGUGACUUCACGGCCGCAGAGCGAGUUCUGGAAGUAGGAAGGAGGAAAAGGGAGGAGGGACAGUUGUUGGAGGAGUUUCACUCCUGGGCUGACGCUCUCCUCUCCCGGCCCCUACGCCCUAGGGGAGGAGUUGAAUCCCGGGUUGGAGGAGCUCUGAGAUCUAUAAGGCAAUGCUACCAUCUUGCAGGAAGUUCCGGUGGACACCCUACCCGAUUCUCUCUGAAUUAUAGAGCAAUUUCUUCUUUGAAAAGAGAUUAAUAAAUUACUAUGUCAUUUAA
Molecule: long non-coding RNA, 312 nt
Organism: Erinaceus europaeus (western European hedgehog)
Lineage: Eukaryota; Metazoa; Chordata; Mammalia; Eulipotyphla; Erinaceidae
Exons: 2
Source: RefSeq, a predicted model, not a curated record